Molecule: ribosomal RNA, 800 nt
Filed under: Acinetobacter sp.
Lineage: Bacteria; Pseudomonadati; Pseudomonadota; Gammaproteobacteria; Moraxellales; Moraxellaceae
Description: bacterial SSU rRNA
Rfam family: Bacterial small subunit ribosomal RNA
Source: RNAcentral
AGAGGGUGCGAGCGUUAAUCGGAUUUACUGGGCGUACAGCGUGCGUAGGCGGCUUAUUAAGUCGGAUGUGACAUCCCCGAGCUUAACUUGGGAAUUGCAUUCGAUACUGGUGAGCUAGAGUAUGGGAGAGGAUGGUAGAAUUCCAGGUGUAGCGGUGAAAUGCGUAGAGAUCUGGAGGAAUACCGAUGGCGAAGGCAGCCAUCUGGCCUAAUACUGACGCUGAGGUACGAAAGCAUGGGGAGCAAACAGGAUUAGAUACCCUGGUAGUCCAUGCCGUAAACGAUGUCUACUAGCCGUUGGGGCCUCUGAGGCUUUAGUGGCGCAGCUAACGCGAUAAGUAGACCGCCUGGGGAGUACGGUCGCAAGACUAAAACUCAAAUGAAUUGACGGGGGCCCGCACAAGCGGUGGAGCAUGUGGUUUAAUUCGAUGCAACGCGAAGAACCUUACCUGGCCUUGACAUACUAGAAACUUUCCAGAGAUGGAUUGGUGCCUUCGGGAAUCUAGAUACAGGUGCUGCAUGGCUGUCGUCAGCUCGUGUCGUGAGAUGUUGGGUUAAGUCCCGCAACGAGCGCAACCCUUUUCCUUACUUGCCAGCAUUUCGGAUGGGAACUUUAAGGAUACUGCCAGUGACAAACUGGAGGAAGGCGGGGACGACGUCAAGUCAUCAUGGCCCUUACGGCCAGGGCUACACACGUGCUACAAUGGUCGGUACAAAGGGUUGCUACACAGCGAUGUGAUGCUAAUCUCAAAAAGCCGAUCGUAGUCCGGAUUGGAGUCUGCAACUCGACUCCAUGAAGUC